UUAAGUUACCUGACGAUUUCAGUUCACAAAAAGGCGUUGAAGAAUGAUGUUGAGUUGAGUCGUGCUUGAGAAAUAUCUGGUCGUUGGCCAGUUCAACUAUGAAUUUGAGGAUUGCAUCUACAGCAGGGAUGGGUUAUGUUUGAUGCAGGCGUGGGGACUGCUUUGGCCAACUUAUUGUCUGUUCCUUAGCUUUUCAACAUUUUUCUUUUCUCAUGUUGGGCAAGAAGGUUGGUCCACGAUUGUGCCGUGCCCUCGAUCGCUGGUGCUGCAUUGUUCCAUCGUGGAGUCUCUCCCCGAUUCGCCUGCAAAAAGAGAUGCUCGGCUCCCUCUUAAACUGAGAGCUCUUGUAGAAAGAAAAUGGAGAGAAUUGAGAAAGAAAAAGAUCUGAUUUUGGAGAUCGCUAACAUCUCCUACUAAACAAAAAAUAUAGCAGUGGGCAGUGAAGGUACCAUAAAACGUGUUCUGCAUUUUCUCAAAGCCAGGGCACUAAUGUCAAGAUGAUGAAUCUCCAUGGAUCUGUAUCAAACUUUAUUUAUAGUUUAAUAUGCCAAUGUGAAGAUUGCUCUCUCUGAAGGCAGAUACAUGGCCUUGAUCAGGCUGAAAGUAUUAUCAUCAGCGGUCGAAACCUGUUCGGUCAUUGUUUGGUGUUGACAAUGUCUACACCUCAGAGGCUUAAAAAGAACAGAGGAUUUCCACUAUAUUGUGGAUAACAGUGCGAGAUCCAAACCAGAAGUAUGGAGGAAGUAUUAAAUCAACCGUAUUGCUUUCAUGUUUUUGGGAUAAACAUGACAAGUAAUCAAUGGGUGGUUAGAAAGGUGAUUUGCUUAAGUCCUUUAAUAGUUGAGAGCUGAGCUAGAUCUCUUAUUGCCAUCUUUUCUUGAACUAGAACUCAAAUCAGAAUGAUUUGUUAUGGCUGCCAUUGAACAAAAUUGGAAAGCCACUCCUGCAAUAACUGUGUUUCAGCCAGAAAUGUGCUCCAUUUUUGGCUAGGCCGAUGGCAGGGACAAAAGAUCUUCAGAGCUUGGGUAUUACCCAGCUGUUAAUGGCACCAAAAUGAAGUGGGAGGAGCUGUGCAUAUGAUUUUUAAUUCUGUGUAGAGCUUAAUUGGUACUACAUCAGAAGCGAGGACUUCCAACUAUGAUUGUAAUCUUGACAUUGGAAUAGCUCAUUGGCAAUAUUAGGAGUGCAAAUUGACUUGGAAGAUACUAGUCAUGUUCUUUUAUUAUCAUUUUCACAACAGUUUGAUGCAUGUCCGAUGAGAGAAAUCAUGUUCUUUCAUUAUCAUUCACGCAAAGAGAAUACCAGAAUGAUGGAGAACACAUAUGCCCCAUGUAGAAUUAUGAAGAAUAUUUGCAUGGCAGCGGAACCACAGAGAUCGGGUUCUAGAGAUCAUCCGUGUUUCCUAGUAAUUGUAAAUAUAGCUGGUAAAGUAUCAUAUUUAGUUAAGAAUACCUACUUCACAUUAGUAAUUUCAGUUUGGUAUGGGGUUGUGUCGAUGUCUUAUUGUUUCCUAUCUUAUUUAAAGUAAUCUUGGGGAAAUUGGUUGACUAAGUGACUGCAAUGCUUCAGCAUCAUCUGGCUUGUGAUCCUGGUGUGUAUGAAAAUAGAUAAGAAUGAGUUCGAAGUACAUUGCAUGUCAUUAUACAUCAUCAGUCACAAAGAAAGACUCUUCAUCCUUGACAUCACAUGAAUAUGUUCUUAUGCAAACAGAGAGUAUU
Molecule: long non-coding RNA, 1718 nt
Organism: Syzygium oleosum
Lineage: Eukaryota; Viridiplantae; Streptophyta; Magnoliopsida; Myrtales; Myrtaceae
Exons: 3
Source: RefSeq, a predicted model, not a curated record